GAUGAAGAACGUAGCGAAAUGCGAUAAGUAAUGUGAAUUGCAGAAUUCAGUGAAUCAUCGAAUCUUUGAACGCACAUUGCGCCCCUUGGUAUUCCGGGGGGCAUGCCUGUUCGAGCGUCAUUAUCACCCCUCAAGCUCAGCUUGGUGUUGGGGCCUGCCGUCAAGGCAGCCCUUAAAAUCAGUGGCGGCGCCAUCUGGCUCUAAGCGUAGUAAAUCUAAUCGCUAUAGACACCUGGUGGACACUCGCCAGAACCCCCCCAUUUUUUAAUGAUUGACCUCGGAUUAGGUAGGGAUACCCGCUGAACUUAAGCAUAUCAAUAAGCGGAGGA
RNAcentral lists this unclassified non-coding RNA (329 nucleotides) under soil metagenome. RNAcentral describes it as "partial contains 5.8S ribosomal RNA, internal transcribed spacer 2, and large subunit ribosomal RNA". The stretch from base 1 to 120 matches the Rfam family "5.8S ribosomal RNA", at positions 35 to 154 of the family's 154-position model. The record is from RNAcentral.